Prosopis cineraria is the source of this 161-nucleotide small nuclear RNA. RefSeq annotates it as U1 spliceosomal RNA. NCBI's taxonomy places the organism in Eukaryota, Viridiplantae, Streptophyta, Magnoliopsida, Fabales, Fabaceae. The transcript has a single exon. The record is from RefSeq and is a predicted model, not a curated record.
AUACUUACCUGGACGGGGUUAAUGGGUGAUCAACAAGGCCCAUAGCCUAGGCAUGUGACUUCCACUGCACUUGGGAGGGGUGUAUGCCUAAGGUCUACUUGAAUAGUGGAGCCUACGUCAUAAUUUGUGAAAGUGGGGGCCUGCGUUCGCGCAGCCCCUUC